AUUUUGUACAUUAAAUGUAAUUGAAGAUGAGUUCCACUUUUUGCUGGUAUGUCCUUACUACACUGAUUUAAGGACAAAAUAUCUACGACAAUAUUACCAUUCAUAUCCUACCACGUGUAAAUUUAAUUUGUUAAUGACCUCCAGUAAUACAACUUAUAUUCGCAACCUUGGUAUGUAUAUCCACCAUGCUUUUGUACAUAGAAAACCCCAACGUCUGCAAACAUUGUGAUUGUAUGCCACUAUUGUUAUCAUACUUUGUACUAUAGGCCUGUGGCCUCUUCAGUACUGGAAUAAAGAGAUUGAUUGAAUCAAAAUGUUUGUGCCCAGGAGCAAGGAAACUGAGAGUCACAGCGAGGUACACACCAGGCUCUUGCUCACCAGUUUGUGUCCUUUUGUGCAAUUCUUGGGCCAACUCUUUCAAGGAGUUCGUCGAGGGCCAACUCUUUCAAGGAGUUCGUCGAAAAGAGCUGGCUCCAUUCUAAGGCCAUUCAACGUCACUUGACAGAGCGACGAAAUAUUCCAAACAGAACAACAGCAUCUAAGAACAUGGCCAAGCCUCUCAUCAUCACCAUUGGCAUCCUCCUGAUUCUGAUGGGAACUGGUACAGAAGCGUGUUCGUGUGUGGGUUGCUCGCCGAGUCCACCAAUUUUCUGCGUCAUUAUGUGGACCGUAGUGAUAGGCCUGCCGCUCCUGCUGCUCCUGGUAGGAAUAGCUGUCUACUGUUGUCGUCGUCGUCGUCGUAAACGCAAUUGCAAAGCACUUGAUCAUGCUGAACUCCAUCCUUCACACAAAGAUGGAAACGAGAACUACAUGUAAAUGGAAGUGGGCCAAAAUCUUAAAGACAGAAGAAGGCGACUAUUAAAUGCUGCACACCUGGCUUGCAAAUUGCAUGUCGGGAGACAAAAUACGACAAAUCUACCAAGGCACCAGAAAUUGUCCAACAUUAGUUAUUUGUCAGUGUAACUUCUUGUAAAACAAUGUUGUUUUUCAUUUA
RNA transcript from Haliotis rubra (blacklip abalone), 994 nucleotides. RefSeq lists it as uncharacterized. NCBI's taxonomy places the organism in Eukaryota, Metazoa, Mollusca, Gastropoda, Lepetellida, Haliotidae. The transcript has 6 exons. The record is from RefSeq and is a predicted model, not a curated record.